This 497-nucleotide ribosomal RNA is filed under the name uncultured bacterium. Its description in RNAcentral is "partial 16S ribosomal RNA". It matches the Rfam family "Bacterial small subunit ribosomal RNA", at positions 29 to 507 of the family's 1533-position model. The record is from RNAcentral.
UAUGCACGCUGGCGGCGUGCCUAAUACAUGCAAGUCGAGCGAACAGACGAGGAGCUUGCUCCUCUGACGUUAGCGGCGGACGGGUGAGUAACACGUGGAUAACCUACCUAUAAGACUGGGAUAACUUCGGGAAACCGGAGCUAAUACCGGAUAAUAUAUUGAACCGCAUGGUUCAAUAGUGAAAGACGGUUUUGCUGUCACUUAUAGAUGGAUCCGCGCCGCAUUAGCUAGUUGGUAAGGUAACGGCUUACCAAGGCAACGAUGCGUAGCCGACCUGAGAGGGUGAUCGGCCACACUGGAACGGAGACACGGUCCAGACUCCUACGGGAGGCAGCAGUAGGGAAUCUUCCGCAAUGGGCGAAAGCCUAACGUAGCAACGCCGCGUGAGUGAUGAAGGUCUUCGGAUCGUAAAACUCUGUUAUUAUGGAAGAACAAAUGUGUAAGUAACUAUGCACGUCUUGACGGUACCUAAUCAGAAAGCCACGGCUAACUACGUG